RNAcentral lists this ribosomal RNA (446 nucleotides) under uncultured bacterium. RNAcentral describes it as "partial 16S ribosomal RNA". It matches the Rfam family "Bacterial small subunit ribosomal RNA", at positions 338 to 795 of the family's 1533-position model. The record is from RNAcentral.
CCUACGGGAGGCUGCAGUCGAGAAUCAUUCACAAUGGGGGAAACCCUGAUGGUGCGACGCCGCGUGGGGGAAUGAAGGUCUUCGGAUUGUAAACCCCUGUCAUGUGGGAGCAAAUUAAAAAGAUAGUACCACAAGAGGAAGAGACGGCUAACUCUGUGCCAGCAGCCGCGGUAAGACAGAGGUCUCAAGCGUUGUUCGGAAUCACUGGGCGUAAAGCGUGCGUAGGCUGUUUCGUAAGUCGUGUGUGAAAGGCGCGGGCUCAACCCGCGGACGGCACAUGAUACUGCGAGACUAGAGUAAUGGAGGGGGAAGCGGAAUUCUCGGUGUAGCAGUGAAAUGCGUAGAUAUCGAGAGGAACACUCGUGGCGAAGGCGGGUUCCUGGACAUUAACUGACGCUGAGGCACGAAGGCCAGGGGAGCGAAAGGGAUUAGAUACCCGAGUAGUC